GAUGAAGAACGCAGCGAAAUGCGAUAAGUAAUGUGAAUUGCAGAAUUCAGUGAAUCAUCGAAUCUUUGAACGCACAUUGCGCCCGCCAGUAUUCUGGCGGGCAUGCCUGUUCGAGCGUCAUUUCAACCAUUAAGCCCCCGGCUUGUGUUGGGGACCUGCGGCUGCCGCAGGCCCUGAAAAGCAGUGGCGGGCUCGCUGUCACACCGAGCGUAGUAGCAUACAUCUCGCUCUGGGCGUGCUGCGGGUUCCGGCCGUUAAACCACCUUCAUAACCCAAGGUUGACCUCGGAUCAGGUAGGAAGACCCGCUGAACUUAAGCAUAUCAAUAAGCGGAGGA
This 336-nucleotide unclassified non-coding RNA is filed under the name soil metagenome. Its description in RNAcentral is "partial contains 5.8S ribosomal RNA, internal transcribed spacer 2, and large subunit ribosomal RNA". The stretch from base 1 to 120 matches the Rfam family "5.8S ribosomal RNA", at positions 35 to 154 of the family's 154-position model. The record is from RNAcentral.